UGGAUGAAUUCGCUUUUCUAGAAGGCACUUUGGAUUGAUUAUGGAGCUGGAUGAUUUUGUGAGCCUUUGCUGCAUCCGUCGUUUUUCCCCUCUGUGAGCCUCAGCUUUGGAGAGUGUCUGCGCAUGUAUACGAUCUUCCUGUAGAUGGAAGAAGCAGAGAGCUCUUGGAUAGCAUUCUCCAUAAAGUCUUCCAUUACUUGAGUCUGUCUUCCAAUUCAGGCCUGGAUGUAGCUGAUGCUGUUUGGGGCAGAGAUGAAAGGACCGUUCUGCAUAGGUGGUUUAAUGAUCACAGAAGACUGGAAUAAAUGUCUUUGGUCGGCUUCGUUCCUGUGUUUUAUAUUGCCUUUGCUCUUGCCCUGUGACUGGGAACCCGUGUGGUCAGGCACAGACUUUCCUCAUCUUUCAAGCAACCAUCCCAAGUCAAGUCUUUAUUAACUUUGUUCUUUCUAAGCAUGUCAUUGGUAUGUGGG
RNAcentral lists this long non-coding RNA (470 nucleotides) under Androctonus crassicauda. Lineage: Eukaryota; Metazoa; Arthropoda; Arachnida; Scorpiones; Buthidae. The record is from RNAcentral.